This 479-nucleotide ribosomal RNA is filed under the name Blastocystis sp. RNAcentral's name for it is "SSU rRNA". It matches the Rfam family "Eukaryotic small subunit ribosomal RNA", at positions 460 to 953 of the family's 1831-position model. The record is from RNAcentral. Lineage: Eukaryota; Bigyra; Opalinata; Blastocystidae.
GGAGGUAGUGACAAUAAAUCACAAUGCGGGACUUGUAGUCUUGCAAUUGGAUUGAGAACAACGUAAAACUCUUAUCGAUAAGCCAUUGGAGGGCAAGUCUGGUGCCAGCAGCCGCGGUAAUUCCAGCUCCAAUAGCGUAUAUUAACGUUGUUGCAGUUAAAAAGCUCGUAGUUGAAGUGAGGGAGUGUGUGUUGUGAUCGAAUCGAUCGAGAGCAGUACAAGCUCCCCCUUCCAAUGGGUGUAUUGGGGUAUUCAUUUACUUCAUUACUCCUUUGGUCGUUUACUGUGAGAAAAUUAGAGUGUUCAAAGCGGGCGUUUGUUUGAAUAGAUUAGCAUGGAAUAAUGAUUGAAGGCUUUCGUGUUCGAUUUGAUUGGUUUGUUCAUGGAAGCAAGGUUAAAAGGAACAGUUGGGGGUAUUCAUAUUCACUAGUUAGAGGUGAAAUUCUCGGAUUUAUGGAAGAUGAACAAGUGCGAAAGCA